GAUGAACGCUGGCGGCGUGCCUAAUACAUGCAAGUCGAGCGAACGGACGAGAAGCUUGCUUUUCUGAUGUUAGCGGCGGACGGGUGAGUAACACGUGGAUAACCUACCUAUAAGACUGGGAUAACUUCGGGAAACAGGAGCUAAUACCGGAUAAUAUUUUGAACCGCAUGGUUCAAAAGUGAAAGACGGUCUUGCUGUCACUUAUAGAUGGAUCCGCGCUGCAUUAGCUAGUUGGUAAGGUAACGGCUUACCAAGGCAACGAUGCAUAGCCGACCUGAGAGGGUGAUCGGCCACACUGGAACUGAGACACGGUCCAGACUCCUACGGGAGGCAGCAGUAGGGAAUCUUCCGCAAUGGGCGAAAGCCUGACGGAGCAGCGCCGCGUGAGUGAUGAAGGUCUUCGGAUCGUAAAACUCUGUUAUUAGGGAAGAACAUAUGUGUAAGUAACUGUGCACAUCUUGACGGUACCUAAUCAGAAAGCCACGGCUAACUACGUG
Molecule: ribosomal RNA, 497 nt
Filed under: uncultured bacterium
Lineage: Bacteria
Description: partial 16S ribosomal RNA
Rfam family: Bacterial small subunit ribosomal RNA
Source: RNAcentral